This 399-nucleotide small nucleolar RNA is filed under the name Rhinopithecus roxellana (golden snub-nosed monkey). RNAcentral describes it as "Small Cajal body-specific RNA 2 (ENSRROG00000000566.1)". It matches the Rfam family "Small Cajal body-specific RNA 2". Lineage: Eukaryota; Metazoa; Chordata; Mammalia; Primates; Cercopithecidae. The record is from Rfam by way of RNAcentral.
GUUUUAGGGAGGGAGAGCGGCCUGGGUUUUGGCGUGUUGUGUGCGGAGUUGUGGUGUCGCGUGCGGGCUGAGUGGACGCGUAAGUGUGCGCGCUUGGAGCGUGUUAGGCGAGUGCGUGCGCCCACCCCUGCGCCCCUCCUCCCGCUUACACGUUGAUCUUAUUUGAUCGGGUCGUGACCCCAGCCCCGCCUGUCCGACCCGAAAUGAAAAGCUCUCCUCCUGCGAAGCCCCCUUCUCGAGGCGCUGUGCAGAGAGGCCCCUUAGGCGGCGGCAACGCUGCGGUCCCCGAGGUCCCGGAGCUGGUCCUGCGGGGCCCGGCGCUCAGAAGUGAUGAAUUGAUCAGAUAGACGAGGCCGGGCUUGUCCCCGGCCACUGAUUAUCGAGGCGAUUCUGAUCUCA